Long non-coding RNA from Leopardus geoffroyi (Geoffroy's cat), 9241 nucleotides. RefSeq lists it as uncharacterized. The transcript is spliced from 2 exons. Lineage: Eukaryota; Metazoa; Chordata; Mammalia; Carnivora; Felidae. The record is from RefSeq and is a predicted model, not a curated record.
CCUCCCCUGCUCGUGCUGUCUCUCUCUGUCUCUGUCUCUCAAAAAUAAAUAAACUAAAAAAAAUUUUUUAAAGAUAAAAUUAAAAUGCCUCAGUGACAGAAGCACCAUCAACAGCAGAAGCAAAUAUUUACUGAAUUUGAUCCAAGCACCCAAACUGAGGAAAUGUGAACACUGGGAAAGAAGGUUCUAGUUCAAACUUCCUAGACUUUUUUUUUUUUUUUUUAAGAAAACAGACAUCUCCAAAGAGACUUUUAUGUUCUAAGGGACAAACAAAAUCGUAGUAAAUUAAAUGUGUACUGUUUAUUUCAGCUGGCACAUUAACUAUAUAGUUAAUGUGGUGUCUCCAAGCAAGGUGGUUGGCUCUCUUUACAUGCUAGAAUAAUCAAUGAUUUAUGUACCUGACCGUCUUUUCAUAAUCCUUUACACAAGCAUGUGUAUUUAUGACUGUUUUAGAAAACUUUGAGGAUAAUUUUAUUAUUGAAAGGGAUUAUAAAUUUUUUGCCAUUGUGACUGUGCUUGUUUAACCAUAUUUAAAAUUCUUCUGAAGUCAAAUACUUUUUCAGCUACAACAGUGAGGCAUUGUGGGAAAAUAGGCUGGUGGGCUUGCCGGGUUACAUUUGCUAAAAAUGGGACAUGCGUUUAUUUGGUCCCUCAAGGUUGGAACUCAGAAAUCACCUUAUCCAGUGAUUAUCAACAGGGGCACUGAUGCCAUAUUGAGUGUGAUCAUUUUCCAUUGUUUAGGACUAUCUUGAGCAUUGUCAGGGGAUUUAGUACCCCUGGCCCACCUGCACCAAAUGCCACUUGAAUCAUCUAGAAAUUUGGACAACAAACGCCCACAAUGGGGUGUGCCAUGGGGGACUGCCCUUGGGUGAGAAACACUGAUCAAUCCAAUGACUCAUGAAUGGGCUGCACAGGUCCCCUUGCACUGUCCUCUAAAGAUAACAGAUCAGCCCGGCUCUUCUGCCAUGCACCCACACCUCCAGUGAUGAAGAAAUCACCACCUCCUAAAGCCACAUUUGAACUCUACUCAUUAUUAAAAUGUUAUUUUUUAUGACAUAACUCCUCCCCCCCCCCACCACCACUUCCAUCAUUAGCCUUUGGUCUGUAACACAGACCUCUUUGUUUCUCAUCCUCUUUCACAUGAAUGCCCUUCAGUCUUUGAGAGUAGCCAUUGUGUUCCUGCUGUCCCAUGACAACCUCCCACCCCUCCUGGAAACUUGCUGUGUCAUUGUACAUGGUUUUGCACUUCAUGGCAAAGCACUUUUUAUAUUACCUCAUUUAAUUUUCACGCCAUGAUGUAGGGGUGAUCAUUUCCUCUUCACAGGGAAUGAAAUGGAGUUUCAAACCCAAUGACUGACCCAAGGCUGCACUGUUGGUCAUUGGUCAAGCAGGAACAGGAAUCUAGUUCUUAUGCAAAUUCAGUACCUGUCACACUUCUCCCAGUGUUCGCUAAAUUUUGUCCAGUCUCUCCCUUUCCAAUGCCUUCUUUCUUCCCAUCUCCACCUCUGCUUGUCUCCCAUCAUAGAAGGCAUGAUGGCCCCAAUUUUUUACCCUUUUUGUAUUUGCAUCCUUUACCAUAUUGCUUUGCAUUUCUUCCUAGCAACAGGUGGAAUAUAUUUCUCAGCUCUUGAUUUUGGGUUCAAUAGAAUGAAGUGAAAAUGUCAUUAUACCAGUUCUGAAUUUAGGCCUCAAGAAGCCUUGUAUGUUCCCACUUGUUCUUUUGCAUUUCUGCCUUCAUUAGACACAAGGAGCAGAGCCGCCUCAGCUGUCCUAUUUAGAUUAGCUGACUCCCAGCCAACCCAGAGGCUUGCAAGAAAAAAACAAUUGGUUUUAUUUAACUUAUUGAGUUUGGAAUUAUUUGUUAUGCAGCGGUUGCUAACUGAUACAUUUCUUCAACCUUCAGAAAACAAAGACUUCCCUUUACCCACUGUUUUUCUUUCCCUCAUUACUUGAAAGCCCGUACUAGCUUUCUUAACAUCUUCAUCUUUUGUUUCACAAACCACUGCUACCUUCUGCUCCACUCUCCCUGUGAGAAGGGGCCCCCAACUUCUAAUGGCCAAACACCACGUGGUCCUGACAGUCUUUAGCGCCUUGAAUCAUCCUGCCCUUCUGUAACUCCUUCUUUGGUUUUCAUGACACUUCCUGUGUUUCUCAUCUCUCUUUUCUCCUGUCAGGAGUCUGCUCUUUGCCCUUGUUGCCUCUUGCUUUCCUUCUCUCUCCCCAGGGACCCUAACCUCUCUCAUGACUUCAAGGACCACAAAAGUAUCGAGCUGUUUGUAACCCCAUGUCUCUUCAACAUUCCAGCUGUGUGUGCAUGUCUGUUUCACAGCUCCUGCAGGGGGUACUGAUGGUUUCACACAGGAAAUGAUUGCAGGUGGAGUGGAGGAGGAGUGGCAUAGGAAGAGAUCAGUGGUCAGGACUCCAGACCAGAAGGUACUGCAAGAAUCCAGGCAAGAGGUGAUGUGGCCAGGCUCAGAUGUCAGAGUCACCAGAAACCCUUGAUUGAGCACCUGUGCUUCCUCCUGCAAAGCUGCAGUUUUGUUUUUGGACUCAGGCAUCCCUCCUGGACCGAUGUCAAUCAGUCAUUUGGUCAAUGUGUUACUUGUAUCCUACUCAAGGCACAGAUAACACUGGAAAGAAAGUUUCUGGCAGGAAGAAUACAGCAAUACCUGUUAUUUGUUUUAGCUACCAAAUGGCUGCAUGACCCAGAAAUUGAUGCAGGUGUGGCUGGUAAGUGAAACUAGAAUUUGAGUAUUAUUGGAUGCUCGGGGAUUUGGAAUUGGGGGGUGGGGCAGAGGAGCAUGGAGGGGACAUGGAAGGACAGUAUGACUCACUGGAACUGUAUAUGGUUGUAGCAUCAGCCAGCAAGGAGUAGGAGGUUGGCAGGGGAGAAUGACACCAAGAAGGGCUUUUGGAACACUUCUGUGGUGCAAUAGGGAGCCAUAGAAGGUUGUAACAGGACAGAAUCAUAUUUGUACCCUUAAACAAUCACUCCAGCAUCAGUGUGGAGAAUUCAUCCAUGUGGAGUGAUGGCUGGUGGUUGGAUCAAAAUGAGAAACGAUGAGGAUAUGAGCAAAGGUGACAUUUGUAGGGAAUGAGAAGAGGGGAGAGAGAAUGUGACUGAAUUGAGCAGAAAGAGGGCAGAGUUGCAGGGAGUUAGCAGGAUCAGCCUAGAGGUGGUGCCACAAGAAGUAAUAGGGGAAAGACACAAGUGAAAUUAUGAUUCAUAAAGAAUGAAUCGGUCUUUCAUUCAAAAAUACUGAUUGAAAAAAUGUACAUAUCAAGUCAGCACUUUCUACGUUCCAGUCACUGAGCUAGACUCCAAGGAUGUGUCUGUGAAGAAGACAGACAUUGCCUGGCUCCAGGAGGUCUGCGACCUGGUGUGGGAGGCUCCUGGUGUGCUUGGGGAAGACCCAGGCAGAUAUUUAAGCUGGGGGUUUGAAGGAUGGGGUCAAGAGGCAGCCAGACAGAGUAUAUGCCGGAGAAUAGCUCCAGGCGAAAGUGACAGCCUAGAAGGGGAAAGCCCAGGGCAGGAACUGACAAGAAGCGGGGUUUGCUGGGAACUCCUGGGAGCCAGACCAGGCACCCGGUGCUUGGAGGACAGUGGCAAGGGCUUGGGUGUGCUUCUGAGUGUCCAGGGAAGCCAUCGGAGGUUAUGGGGCAGGGGAGGGCCGGUGCCAGUCUGAACUAUGAGAAGUUCCCCUGGGAAGUGCGCAGAGAGCUGGGGCCCCCGCAGGAAAGUCCCCCCCCCCCCACACACACACACCGCAGCAGCAGCAGCAGCUGCGGUCAGGGGCAGGGCCAUGGUGUGGCUGCAGAGAAGCGCUCAGGCCGGGCAAGUGAUUUGAGAGUAGAAAUAUGGAGGGAUGGACUGGGGGUGAGAGGACGGAGAGGAGUCACUCAGGACCUGGUAGGCUGCUGGUGUGAGCAAGUGGGGCGUUGAGGGGGGCGCUCGGGAAGUCACCGGCUCUGCCUUGGGGUACUAGUGCCCAUCCAGAAGAAGGCUUAGCCGCUUGGAGAUCAGACAAGGGGUCUGGGUCCGCAGUGAUGGGGGUCACGGGCAUGCACAUGGGGGUGUAGAGGUAGAGGAGAGUAUAUGGGGCCAUUCAGGAGAGGAGUGGUCAGAGAGGAGGGUUGGAGGGACAGUGGUCACAGUCUCCCCUGUCCUGGAGCGUAGAGGGAGAGAAGGGCUGACAGUGGAGAGGGUUCUGGCCGUCGGUCGGCAGGCACUGUGCGUGAAUGAAUUCCACCGCCAGCAGCCUCGGCGCAUCCUGGAUGGCCCUUCUGUGGUGAAUUGACUCUCACAGACUCCUCUCCUUGGCACUGUUGGAGGCUGCAGAGAGGAGCUCUGAGGAGAGAGCAGCAUCCAGCCUGGGGAGGAGCCGCAGGGACACUGGGGCAUCGUCUCUAGCGAGGUGGCCCAUCAGCUCCUCACUGGCUUCCCGCAGGCAGCUCACACCAGAUCCCAGCUCCUCUCCAUGAGGCCAGGGCCAGAUCCUGAGCCUUUCCCGACAGCGACAUUGGGUGAAGUCCUGCAUGCCCUCCUUGCCCUGGCCCUCUCCUCCAGGCGCUGGUUUCCUGGUGGCUCAGGCUGUGUGCCACUCGAGGACACAGACGGGCACAGCCAACUGCCAACUGAAAACUGCCAGUCUGCUUGGAAAUGUCCCCUGUCAAGGUGAAGGGCAGCCUGGUGCUGCCAGAGGCCACCAGGUGGCUGCGGGCACGCCCUCCUCCUUCCUCCCACACCCCAGGCAGCACAGAGUCUCAUUCACACAGAUGGGCCAGGUCACGGCCCUGUGAAUGCCAUGCAUCGCCCCCAGAAAACGGCAGAGGCUUCUUCCCCCACAGCAGGAACAGCAGUCUGCAGUUAGGGCCUCGCCUCUGUACCUGAAGCUGGCGUCUGGACCAGGGCCUCUCCAGGAUGGGGCUGGGGAAAGAGCCAGGUCUAGCUGGGAGGUCAACCACCUUUUGUCUCGAUGGCACUUUUUCAAAGGUAUGUCAGCCUGGUCUUUAAUGGAAAUACCAAGCCUCUUAGUGAGCAGCUCUGGCCCACAGAGCUUACUUACUGCAUGAGACACAGACUCAGAUCGAUGUCGCCAUGACUGGGUCUGGUGAACACGUAGAAAGAACUUGGGGCCGUCAGGGAGGAAAGAGUACAGACCCAGCAGCCCUCAACCCUCACUGAACAAACGGAGGAGGCUGAAGGGGAGGAACAUGGUGGUUUUCCCCUGAGCCUCCAGUAGGAGAGAGGAGACAGCUACAGGUAACAUAAGAAUACACCUGAAAAUGGGGUGAAGGACUGGGUGUGUUCUGAGGCCCCAACUACAGCAAGGAACGGGUGGCUUCCUCUGCACAUGGACUUCCGUAACCCCCCCAAAUCAGUGCGAUUGGCCCCUACUUUUCUUGAGCUCCAGAUUCAUUUGUCCACCUGCUGCCCAGAGUCUCCAUGUGGAGAUACCACACGAAACUAUCCAGAGCUGCCCUCACCGUCUCUCUCACACGAUUCUGUCCCUCGGGUGGGCACCUGGCCACAGUCACAGGCCUGUGAGGCGCCCUCGUCCUCGCCCUUAUCUUCCAGAAAUGGCAUGGAACUAGGUGUGGUCGAUGUUAAGUCCUGAAUGUCUCACAAGUCCUGUAGCUUCUGCCUCUGGGCUGUGGGUUUGAAUCCCACUCAGCCAUGUGCUCCCUGUACCAUCUUGGGCAAGUGACCCUCGCUCUGCCUCUGUUUCUGCAUCUGUAAAAUCAGGGUAAUCAGCACACGCCUCCUACGGUGGUUUUGAGGACUGAGUUUUGUACCUCCUGAAGCGUCUAGAGCAGCAGGCACUAAGUCAGCAAUAGCUGCCUUGAUGAUGGUAUUAAACCCUUAGGACAGCAUUCAAGACUCCCCUCCCGGCCCCCUCCACACAUCCACACCUGACACACAGGGCACGCACUUCGUCAUUCUCUGACCGUGCCAUGCUCCAGGGCCUGUGGCUCCUUGUGCCUGGAUUGCACACAGCAAACCUUUUCCCCGGCUGGCAGUGAGCCCCUGAGGGCCACUGAGGGAGAAGACAGGGAAGCACCUCCUGAGCUGGCUCGUGACUCACAGGUCACCCACGUUAGCGCCUUCACUUGCAAAACCUCGCUGUGAGGCAGGUCGUCUUUUUGCCUUGCUUUUUGGGCAGGAAACUGCAGCUCAGUGAUUCUUCAGCUCUAAGAGCUGGUUGUGGAGCUGGAAUGAAGUCCAGGUGUGUGGCCUUCCGCACCGUCUGUGUGGCCUUUCACUGACUGUGCAAACCUCUCAUGUCGUUUAAGGGGAAAAACUAGAGGUCUUUGAGAGAGAGAGAGGACACGAAGAGGAUGUGGAAACAAUUCCCUCAGCGGUGGGUUUGCAAUGUGUCCAUUUAGCUAAGCCGAAACACGUUUCCAGGACUAAUGAAUUUGGGUCUCAAGUUGUCAGAGGUGCGAGGAGAAGCCAAGUGGCAGCCACAUGUACCCUGGCAAGGUUUCUCUGAAUCUGGGAUCAGCCCGGGGAGCUCCCCAGUGAACUGCACUGUCCCGUGGCCAGCCCCCAUUCUGGAAGAUGGAGGGCUCGGAGUGCCUCCACGGACUCCAGUGCUUCCUCAUGGGUUCCCACUUUCAGUCGGCCUUGACCUGCCCUGCUGACUCAGGGACAGUAUACGAGGCCUAACCCCUCUGGCAAUCCUGCUGUGUCCCUCUGUGGUUGGUCCAGAAUUAGUUCAAUGGACAUUGGGUUACAUGGGUAAACAAGUGGUUGAAUAAAUCAAUGUUUUGGUUGCUUUGCAAUUCAAAUUGCAGGAGAACUAAAACUAAGGGAAGUCAUGUUUUCCAACCUCUACUAAAGGACAGAUUAACGCAUUUAACAUGUUCUCCCCAAAGUCCCCCGUGGUCGCGGCUCUUUAAAGUAACAUAGAUGGCUCACGGUGUAGUGAUUAAAUCACAAUCCGUAUGAGUUGAUGGUAAAGGGGUUGUGAAUUUUUAUGUGGUUUUGUGACUUUAUUUUAGGGUGUUGGUCCUCAUUCACCCUCCUUCACGGGAGGGGCUAGGUGAUCCCCACAGGAAUCAGAUGUGCGUCCAUCAGACUUCUGCCUCGUGGCAGCCCUGUGGCUCUGGGCCACAGAGGAAUCUGAGAUGGAAGAAUGGCCGGCUGGGCAGCAACCACUUCUAUCAGGAAAUCUAAGCCAACGUUACGUCCAACUGAAAAAGCAAGCCAAGAGAACAAAAGCAGGUGCAGAAUUACAGUCUGAAAUUAAUACCUGCAUGCAGUCAAAGGGUUGUUCAAAAUUCUAGAUUGAAUUCCCUAUCCUGUAGGUCUCAUUUGACCUUCCAAACAUCAGACGACCAAGCGGAACAAAUUUGCCCCCCUGGAAUGAAUCUAGCUUUUGAAGUCUUUCCACUGAGUUAUCCUGCAGCUCUGGAAUCCAGGAUUCCCUCUUUUUCCUUGGGGGCUGUGAAGUAUCUGUCCCCACCCUGGGAAAGCCAGAGAGCAGGUCUGCCUUGUGAUGCAUCCUCCUUUCCAAAGAGACAGCCUUUGGGAGCAGACCUAGCCUUAAAUCCCGGCUCAGUUGCUGGCUGUUUGACGCGGAGCACGUUCCUUACCCUUUCAGUCACUGCGUUCUCCUCCAUGAAGUGAUGUAUCUGUAGAGGCCUAGUGCAAGCCAGGCUUAGCAUGUUGUUUUACUAUGCUUUCGUUAUGGUAGCAACAUAAAAGCACUUUCCAGAUUUCAAAAUAAAAUGAUAGCCUUGUUCACAUCCAUCUUCAAUCUUUUCAGUCUUCUUAGGAAGACCAAAUCUAGCUUCAUCUGUUUCAGACCUUUGUCCACCAACAGGCCCUGACUACAACAUCCGAAACCUUCCUGGAAGAACACAAUGUUGGCGAUUUCAUGCCAAACGUACAGUAAUGUUUUGGAUAAAAUGGGGAAAAAAAGAUAUAAAAUCUUAGUUUUGGCUCGUAUAAGUAGACUAGAAAGAUCUGUAAGUCUAUUUGGAAACAUCUGUCUUUUCAUUUUAAAAAAAAGUGUGACUCUCCUAUUUCAUUUUCUGUUACAUUAUUAUGAUCUCUUCCAGGUCUUGUGUAAUUUCCAGACUGCACUGUGGCUCCAAGCAGCUUUGUAUCACACAGACCAGUUUGCUGGUGACUGAGGCUUUGAGAGGCUCACCUGCUCCUCCCUCUCCCUGGCAGAUAUGCCCCCCCAGAGCCUCCAAGGAAGAGAACCCAGGGAGGCCGGCGAUUGAGAAAGCUUGCACCAGGGCUGUGUGCACUCGGCCUUUUCUCCAGGGGUAAUCCUAACAUUUGGGCAGAUGCCUGGCUUUAGCCAAGAGCCUCAUCCAAGAACAUCAUGAUCUCAAUCCUUGCUGGCUCACUCUGCCUUUGGCCCCCCAGGAGCCUCCUAGGCGGCAGCAGGGAAGGGCACAGAGUAUUUCCUGACACCCUGGGCCUCUCCUGGUUCCCAGCUUUGAGGAUGAAAGAGGGAGGAGGAACAGAGUUUGGCCUCAGGCCACCAGGGGCUGGUACCCCAGGGCUAGCUCGUGCUGUCUGGGAGAGUUAAACUGCUCAGAGCCUCAGUUUCCUCAAGUAUGAAAUGGGAGUGGCUCUGGCUGAGAUGUGUAUUUAGUGCCAGGCAGGUGGUGCUCUGUCAGUGGCAGCCUCACUUGGACAGUGGGACAGCUACAAGGCCGUGCAGUUAGUCAAGUGCAGGGGAAGAUGCUGUGGGGCCUCUGGGCCGAUUGAGCGCCGCCUAGAGGCCAGCCCGCCCUCCACCUGGGGCUUUCCCUGUUGGGAGUGACAGGAACACAAACCGGGGACAUGCAGAGGAAGGAAACUGACCAGAGUGUGUGGCACCUUUUUAUUUAGUCAGUCUUUAUUUAAAUGUGUGUUUUGAAAUAGCUUAUUAAAUAGGAUCUUCUCCAAAUUCAAUUCUCACAAUAUUUACAGUGAAUUUUGUGCAAACAUAUUUUGUGAGCUUCUUACUCCCCCCUUUCAUGUUAAUAAUUUACAAAUUUGUCUCACACAAAACCCCAUCUACUUCAUUCAUGGCCUCUUAGGCUCUAGUUUUCUGUUUGACAGGUACUGAUCUAGGGUAAGGAUUUGUUGGCCAAGAGCUAAUUCACGCCCAGAGGAAAUAAAACAUUUUAUUUAUCAAAAAAGAAUUACAACAAGGCAUUGCUUUCCAAAUGGAAACAUGUGUCCUAAGAAGUUGCAGAACAGUAUUAGCAGCCAAAUAAAUUUCCAAUGAUUAUA